This 371-nucleotide ribosomal RNA is filed under the name uncultured organism. RNAcentral describes it as "bacterial SSU rRNA". It matches the Rfam family "Bacterial small subunit ribosomal RNA", at positions 526 to 896 of the family's 1533-position model. The record is from RNAcentral.
CGUAGGGUGCGAGCGUUAAUCGGAAUUACUGGGCGUAAAGCGUGCGCAGGCGGUUUUGUAAGACAGGCGUGAAAUCCCCGGGCUCAACCUGGGAACUGCGCUUGUGACUGCAAGGCUAGAGUACGGCAGAGGGGGGUGGAAUUCCACGUGUAGCAGUGAAAUGCGUAGAGAUGUGGAGGAACACCAAUGGCGAAGGCAGCCCCCUGGGUCGAUACUGACGCUCAUGCACGAAAGCGUGGGUAGCAAACAGGAUUAGAUACCCUGGUAGUCCACGCCCUAAACGAUGUCAACUAGGUGUUGGGUGGGUAAACCAUUUAGUACCGGAGCUAACGCGUGAAGUUGACCGCCUGGGGAGUACGGCCGCAAGGUUA